CAGCACCGGAGAAACCUGCAAGAUGAGCAGAGGAGGAUGUCAGUCCCAGAUGAGCAAACAUAAGGGUAAAGAUUUUGAGGCAAUGCAACUUUAAAACAUUUACAUACAAGUGUCAGGUAUCUGUCCAUAGUCUCAUUUCUACCUUCUUUAGCCCAGAAAACGGAGUGACCUUCGCUUGAGAAUGAGAUCGGACUAAAUGCACCACCACCACAUUAACAACGAAAAGGUCUGCCAGCCCAUUUUUCCAACAUCCAGGCCUUUUCUGUUGCUGUGACAACGACAAGGACACAAGGAGGCAACCUUGGAUGCUGGACAGCUUUGUUUCAAUACAACACUGGCUUCUUCAUGAAGGCUGUCAGCUUUACAGGACUGACUCACACCUCGCAAACAGUACCGUCUGUAGUGAG
Molecule: non-coding RNA, 407 nt
Organism: Xyrichtys novacula (pearly razorfish)
Lineage: Eukaryota; Metazoa; Chordata; Actinopteri; Labriformes; Labridae
Source: the annotation of a GenBank genome assembly